UACGUAGGGGGCAAGCGUUGUCCGGAUUUAUUGGGCGUAAAGAGCUCGUAGGCGGUUUGUUGCGUCGGCUGUGAAAUCCCGAGGCUCAACCUCGGGUCUGCAGUCGAUACGAGCAAACUAGAGUGUUGCAGGGGAGACUGGAAUUCCUGGUGUAGCGGUGAAAUGCGCAGAUAUCAGGAGGAACACCGGUGGCGAAGGCGGCACUCUGGGCCGGUACUGACGCUGAGGAGCGAAAGCGUGGGGAGCGAACAGG
This 253-nucleotide ribosomal RNA is filed under the name uncultured bacterium. Its description in RNAcentral is "partial 16S ribosomal RNA". It matches the Rfam family "Bacterial small subunit ribosomal RNA", at positions 524 to 776 of the family's 1533-position model. The record is from RNAcentral.